RNAcentral lists this long non-coding RNA (246 nucleotides) under Homo sapiens (human). Its description in RNAcentral is "non-protein coding lnc-TMEM132B-12:3". The record is from RNAcentral. Lineage: Eukaryota; Metazoa; Chordata; Mammalia; Primates; Hominidae.
CAGGCGUGCAGGGCCUUGGCUACUGCGCUAGGUCUGCUGAUGGCCACAAGCCUUUAGUCCCAGCUCUGCCUUAGCAAUGGGGGUGUCUGAAGGCUCAGGGGAUACACAGGUCCUCUAGGUUCCUGGGGAGAUGAUGAGUGAGAGUUUCGACCAGGAGUGGAUACUGAGGAGAGCAAAGAUCACCUGGUGCUCAUCAAGCCGGACUUCCAGAGGCAAAGCUCCUUAACUGAAGAAUUCAGAAGUAAU